CCUACGGGAGGCAGCAGUGGGGAAUAUUGCACAAUGGGGGAAACCCUGAUGCAGCGACGCCGCGUGAGUGAAGAAGUAUUUCGGUAUGUAAAGCUCUAUCAGCAGGGAAGAAAAUGACGGUACCUGACUAAGAAGCCACGGCUAACUACGUGCCAGCAGCCGCGGUAAUACGUAGGGGGCAAGCGUUAUCCGGAUUUACUGGGUGUAAAGGGAGCGUAGACGGCCCGACAAGUCAGAAGUGAAAGCCCAGGGCUCAACCCUGGGACGGCUUUUGAAACGGCCGGGCUGGAGUGCAGGAGAGGUCGGCGGACUUCCUCGUGUAGCGGUGACAUUCGUUGAUAUUAGGAGGAGCACCAGUGGCGACGGCGGCUUACUGGACUGUAACUGACGUUGAGGCUCGAAAGCGUGGGGAGCAAACAGGAUUAGAUACCCUUGUAGUC
Molecule: ribosomal RNA, 440 nt
Filed under: uncultured bacterium
Lineage: Bacteria
Description: partial 16S ribosomal RNA
Rfam family: Bacterial small subunit ribosomal RNA
Source: RNAcentral